Molecule: long non-coding RNA, 361 nt
Organism: Rattus norvegicus (Norway rat)
Lineage: Eukaryota; Metazoa; Chordata; Mammalia; Rodentia; Muridae
Source: Ensembl
GUUCCUGCAACCUGGAGCUUCCGUACUGAAAUGACAACCCUGUGGACCCCAAGGGAAAGAAGAAAGGAAGGGGUCACUGAGAGGGUCUGAUUCUGUAGGUUCAGGCUGCUGCCAGGAGAGAGGAAUGUCUACAACACUCACUAUUCCUGGAAUCUGAGCUGUCCGUGCUGAGAUUGCACAGGUCCCGUGCGUGCUGCCACUGUCUCUGUUGAGUUCCUACGUACAUCAGUCCUGCUGUGUCCGGAGAACACUGUUUUCUUGGGAUCUUCCACUGCCUCUUCUGCUCACUUCCCUGAGCCCAUGAACACUUCUUAAACAGCACAUCCAAGCAAAGAGAUGGACAAGAAAGAAUCUGACCCAG